Molecule: ribosomal RNA, 127 nt
Filed under: uncultured eukaryote
Lineage: Eukaryota
Description: partial 18S ribosomal RNA
Rfam family: Bacterial large subunit ribosomal RNA
Source: RNAcentral
GGGUUCGAUUCCGGAGAGGGGCUCGGUGAAAUAGACUUGUCUGUGAAGAUGCGGACUACCUGCACCUGGACAGAAAGACCCUAUGAAGCUUUACUGUAACUUGAAAUUGAAAUUUGACUCAACACGC